Myodes glareolus (Bank vole) is the source of this 4088-nucleotide non-coding RNA. Lineage: Eukaryota; Metazoa; Chordata; Mammalia; Rodentia; Cricetidae. The record is from RefSeq and is a predicted model, not a curated record.
AACUAAAACAAAGACUCCCAAACCCUCAUCCUCUUGUUGAAAGCCUGCUUGGCCAUUCUCCCUUAACCUCUCAGUUUCAAUCUCCUACUUCCCAUUAUAAUUAAUACAAUUCUGUAGCAAAAUGUUUGAGCCAUACAACAGCUUGAUACCUACCUGGAAAUAUCAUUACAGGGGGAGCCUGGGGAAAGCCAUGGGUAUUGUCUGUGGUUUGUUUGGUUCAUUUUGGUUUUGGUUUUGUUGGUGGUGGUGUUAGAAAUUGAACCCAGGGCCACACACACUACAAAAGCACUGCUCACAGACCAUAGCCCCAGCCUGCUCCAUCACAGCCAUUUUUUUUGACAAAGGAUCUCAGGUAGCCCAGGUUAGCCUCAAACUUGCUGUGUAUCUGAAGCUGAUCUUGCAUACCUCAUCUCCCUAUCUCCACCUCCCAUGUUCUGGGAUCACGGGUAUGUGCCACCAUGACCAGGUUUCUGAGCUACUUAAGAAGUAUCAGGGCACCAUAAGUGAGCCUGCUUUAAGUCUAAGAAGGGCCCUUUGCUAGUACAGUUUUCAAGACUCCCUAGAGCAAGUGUGCAUGAUGUGAAAUGUGCUCCUUCAGAGGGCUUUGCGAUGGUUGACUCUGAAACAAGCCCUUGAGGGAAGGUUCAGAGCAUGCUCCAUAGAGACCCAGCAGUCUGCUCCCACCAGGUGACCUCCCUGGCCCCAUAGCCACGUCCCCCUCACUCCCUGAUAACAGUUUCCCAGGACUCCCAAUGCAUGGAAAUAAAGAUUUAGGUCAGCCUCUCCAGCUCAUCUACCAACAAGGGUAACAGCAACGCUUGAGGUCAAUUGCUGAUGAAUUAAUUUCCCUGGAAACCCAACAACUGGAUCUUGACCUGCUGUCCAUACCCCUCCAUCUUUGAACCAGCUCUAGUCUGGGCAACUUGUAGCUGCCACUACCCCUUCUACCUCCAUGCCUUCUCCAACAGUGCCUGACUUAGAGAGAACUUUCCACAUCUGUUCCUUCAUCGCUUCUUCAGUCCUAGCUAUUCUGGAGAUUUUCCUUUCAUCCCCUCAUAGGUAAUUCCCUAUACACCAUUUCUAUUGCUUAAUAAAUAAAUAUUUAUUAUUUGGAGUAGAGGCGGGUGUGUAAGUGGGCAAAUGUUCUGAUACUUGCAUGGAGGUCAAAGGAUAACUUCAUGGAGUUGAUUCCAUUCACCCUUGGUGAGUCCCAGGGUUCAAACUCACGUCACUAGUGGUUUGCAGAAAGCACCCUUUCCUAUUGAACCAUCUUGCCAGUCCCUCCUUUUCAAUUCUUUACAAUAGAUAUUCUGAUAAAUGACUCUGCAAAUCAUCUUCUUCCCGAAUGAACAAUGGUGGAUAGUGCUGUUUGUUUGGACUGACCUGGUUUGGCCACAAGUGCACAACUUAACCAAGAUUGACUACCAGAAAGACACGGAAAAUUUAUUGACUGAUCCUGGAUCCGUGUUGGAGACAUCCAGACUGUAUGCCUGGGGAUUGGGGGGUGGGAUGGGAGGUGCCAAAAGCAAACAGUGAGGAUUUGAUUUGGGGAAACCACUACCGGCACAUCUGGGGGAGACCUAACACGGUAGCACCAAAAUGGAAGAAGACAACGGGCUGACCACCCAUCAGAGCGAGGGACCCUGGACUGAGGAUGCCCGGCAGUGCUGAGGUGGAUAACAUGUAAUCUUGCUUUGAUAAAAGGAGGUAUCCCUUAUCUAAACAUGCUCACUUGUGGAGCAUUACUUCAUCUUCCAGCUCAGAAUCUCACCAGAAAAUCCCUCCUAUCAUUCUUCCACAUCUUCUCACAGUGUAGGAUUCCCCUAGAGUCCAGCUUCUUUCUUAUUUCCUGAAUGGCUGCCAGGAGCUGCCAGGCCAUCGGGCCUCCUUUCUUCCUUCUGGAAAGAAUCUGAGAGUACCUCUGACCUAAAUUUCUCUGCCGAAUCCCCCAAGCUCUUUUCUUCUCCUCAUCAAGACCAUGAACUAUCAGCUUCUUCCAAGGGCAACGACAACAUGGAUCCCUUUAGAUUCUUACAUCCCCAUUCCUAAAGGCCAGGAUAGUACAACAUGGGGUGCUGAAAGAGUAUAGGAUCCACGCUAAGAAGGCAACAAACCCUAUAAAAUGCACCCAACAAGGAAUAAUGAGCCCCCCUCAUUUCAUCCUAAAACCCUAGUAAUUCCCAUCUACUUUGUUGUGUUAACUAUGACACACACAACUUCUUCAUUGACCCAAGAUGUUCUUUGGAUGUUAAAAUACCCACACACACACUUUCACUUCUUAAUCCUACAGAAAGAAAUAGAAGUUUAUUACACAUUUGAACUUUUUAUUUGUCUGAUUGUUGGUUUUAUUUUUGAGACAAGGUCUCAUGUGGCUUAUGCUUUCCUAGAACCCACAUUGUAGCCAAGGAUGACCUUCUACUUCAGAUCCUCCUCCUUCUCCAUCCCAUGUGCUGGGAUCAUAAGUGUAUCCCUUGCAUUUGUUUCUAGAAGUAUCAGAUGCUUACCCAGGGUUUGAUGCAUACUAGGCCAUCGCUCUACCCACUGAGAUGAGUCACUCUCCAGAAUAAAUGAUUUUCAACAUUAUGCUUGCCUGAGUUUGAACUGAAUUCUGUAGCCAUUGAGACACUCUUGAAAUUUUUAGAUGGAACAGAAUUAUAAUUUAGAAUUUUCUAGAAUCUGAAAUGUUAUCAAAGGGGGAACCAUGUUUAUCCAAGCAAUUUAUUAUAAAAGGAUGGUCUUUCUGCACAUGGCCUCGGAGUAGAUCCAAGAAAACAAGAACAAAACAGGGCAAAAGGCUGUUCUAGAACAAAACCAGCACAGAUGAAGAGAGGGAUAUUCGACAUUUACAGCAAAGGGACAGGGUGCAUAAUGGUUUCACAGGGCACUCAAAGCAGAGGGAGAAGCCAGGCCACUCAGCGUUCUCAGGUCAUUUGGCCAAAAAGGAAAAAGAGCCCAGAACAGGUUGGGAAGGGAAAUAAAGAACCCACGCUACUUUAUAGAACUCAGCAAUUGUUUAUCGAGCAGUGUAGACAGGGAGCUGUUUAUUUGUAAACACAUCAGGCAUUUCCCCAGCUUUCUGCUCACCUUAGAAGUAAAUCAUUUGUUAAUGAAUAUUUUCUCUGUGCUUGUCACAGUACAAACAUGUGGUUUUAAUGCAACCAGUGCCCAGCAUAACUUUUUCUCAUUUAUAAUUGUCUUUGUGGCUUUCUCAUUUAAGUGUCUCUGUGGUCUACUAGACUUCCCAAGACAGCUGGCUAGCAGGAAACACAGGCACAGAGAUGGACAAGGGCCAGAUUCCCCAAGGCCUGUGACCAAGAAAAUGGAAGAUCUCACACUUCAUGGUUCCCUUCUCACCAGCAAUGAGCCUGUUCCCUUCAGCAUGAGCCUGCCUGUAUGUUCCAGUUUGCCAUAGUCUCUACAGCUCCCUAUUGUGUCCUAGGCAUAGCAGGUGGAAUACGUAUGCAUUGCCUAUGCUGUAGAAGAUUCUAGAGAAGCAGCUCUUAGCUACGUUGCCUCCCUGACUGUUGGGAGAUGUGGGAGUCAGUCAGCCUUUCUCUGGCACCCUAGAGAGGCCCCUGACAAAUGGGUAGAGCUGUGUCACUCAAAUCCUCCAGUGCAAGUACAGGCUGGGAUGCCGGAGAAGCACGGAUGGGAAGAGGUAGCCUGGUUUGUCUUGUUUUGAUGCUAAUCCGUAAAGACAAGCCACAACGUAACUGCAGCAAACGCUCACUGUUUCUUCCAUUAUAUCAAUAACUUUAUAAAUAUCGCCAUGAACGAGUGCUGCAGGUGGCAGCUAACCUUUGUUGUGAAUUCGAUUGACUAAUACAGGCCAGGGCAUUGUUGAGGUAUCCCCUUGCUGAGGGUGUGUAUGGGAAGGCAUAUCCAGGGAGAAGGGGAGGAAGAAAAAAGGACCUCUACUGGCUUGGGUUCUAAACUGAACAAACAGAGGAAACAAGGAAACCUGUUGUGCCCUGCCGCAUCCAUCUGCCUGCUUCUCAUCUGCCCAGAUGUGAAGGAGCAGCCGCACACUCGUUCCUGCCCUGACAACUGAGACCCGUUCCUGCCACUGUGCCUCCCCUGCCUUGAUA